This 21-nucleotide microRNA is filed under the name Tribolium castaneum (red flour beetle). The record is from RNAcentral. Lineage: Eukaryota; Metazoa; Arthropoda; Insecta; Coleoptera; Tenebrionidae.
UGACUAGAUCGAACAUUCGCU